Molecule: ribosomal RNA, 253 nt
Filed under: uncultured bacterium
Lineage: Bacteria
Description: partial 16S ribosomal RNA
Rfam family: Bacterial small subunit ribosomal RNA
Source: RNAcentral
UACGGGGGGGGCAAGCGUUGUUCGGAAUUACUGGGCGUAAAGGGCUCGUAGGCGGCCAAUUAAGUCAGACGUGAAAUCCCUCGGCUUAACCGGGGAACUGCGUCUGAUACUGGAUGGCUUGAGUUUGGGAGAGGGAUGCGGAAUUCCAGGUGUAGCGGUGAAAUGCGUAGAUAUCUGGAGGAACACCGGUGGCGAAGGCGGCAUCCUGGACCAACACUGACACUGAGGAGCGAAAGCCAGGGGAGCAAACGGG